RNAcentral lists this ribosomal RNA (470 nucleotides) under uncultured bacterium. RNAcentral's name for it is "bacterial SSU rRNA". It matches the Rfam family "Bacterial small subunit ribosomal RNA", at positions 76 to 543 of the family's 1533-position model. The record is from RNAcentral.
GGGGCAACCUGGCGACGAGUGGCGAACGGGUGAGUAAUACAUCGGAACGUGCCCAGUAGUGGGGGAUAGCCCGGCGAAAGCCGGAUUAAUACCGCAUACGACCUACGGGUGAAAGCGGGGGACCGCAAGGCCUCGCGCUAUUGGAGCGGCCGAUGUCAGAUUAGGUAGUUGGUGGGGUAAAGGCCUACCAAGCCGACGAUCUGUAGCUGGUCUGAGAGGACGACCAGCCACACUGGGACUGAGACACGGCCCAGACUCCUACGGGAGGCAGCAGUGGGGAAUUUUGGACAAUGGGCGCAAGCCUGAUCCAGCCAUACCGCGUGCGGGAAGAAGGCCUUCGGGUUGUAAACCGCUUUUGUCAGGGAAGAAACGCGCUGGGCUAAUACCCCGGCGUAAUGACGGUACCUGAAGAAUAAGCACCGGCUAACUACGUGCCAGCAGCCGCGGUAAUACGUAGGGUGCAAGCGUUA